RNAcentral lists this ribosomal RNA (513 nucleotides) under uncultured bacterium. RNAcentral describes it as "bacterial SSU rRNA". It matches the Rfam family "Bacterial small subunit ribosomal RNA", at positions 8 to 518 of the family's 1533-position model. The record is from RNAcentral.
AGAGUUUGAUCCUGGCUUAGGAUGAACGCUAGCGGCAGGCCUAAUACAUGCAAGUCGAACGGGAUAGGCUCCUCGGGGGCCUUGAGAGUGGCGCACGGGUGCGCAACGCGUAUGCAACAACCCCCGACAGGCGGAUAGCCGGUGGAAACGCCGGAUAAUACGCCAUGGUUCCGUGGGAGGGCAUCCUCCUGAGGAUAAAGCUACGGCGGUCGGGGACGGGCAUGCGUCCCAUUAGAUGGUAGGCGGGGUGACGGCCCACCUAGUCCACGAUGGGUAGGGGAUCUGAGAGGACGGUCCCCCACACUGGUACUGAGACACGGACCAGACUCCUGCGGGAGGCAGCAGUAAGGGAUAUUGGUCAAUGGGCGGAAGCCUGAACCAAGCCAUGCCGCGUGAGGGAAUGAGGCCCUACGGGUCGUGAACCUCUUUUAUUCGGGGACAAGGACGUGGUCGGGAACCGUGUUUGAGGGUACCGAAGGAAUAAGCGUCGGCUAACUCCGUGCCAGCCGCGGC